Small nucleolar RNA from Ursus americanus (American black bear), 93 nucleotides. NCBI's taxonomy places the organism in Eukaryota, Metazoa, Chordata, Mammalia, Carnivora, Ursidae. The record is from Ensembl.
UUUGUUUGUAAUUAAGUAAGCUCCAUGCCCAACGUGGGGCUUGAACUCGCGACCCUGAGAUCAAGAGUCACAUGCUCUACCAACUGAGCCAGC